CUGCUCUGCUCUGGAGUGGUGGUGCAGGUCAGGAUGGAGAUGGUGAGCGAGGAGGAGCGGCCAUUUUUAUAAGCGGCGGAUGCUGGAUGGAGGAGUGUGUGGCCACUCUUGCUUAGCUACGCCUACGCAGCAGGAUGUGGCAUUGUCGCUGUCCCCUGCCCUGACCACCUAUGCAAUUUUCCAUUAGGGGCCACACCAUAUAAAGACCCCGAAUGGAUCAAUGACGAAUCAUGUGGUUGCGAUUGCAAGCACCGACGAAAACAUUUGGCAUCACAAAUCCAAGGUCAGCAAAAUAAUAUAACACGGUACAAUCAAAGGCCUCGUAUACACUCACACCCACAUUUUAUUUCUAUGAGCACCUCCAUAUUAAAGAAGUCAUCUUUCACAUCUUGUAGUGGACGGAUAUACCUUCUUUCACCGAGCAAAUAUCGUCAAAAAGAUUGAAUGAAUGCAGAAGAAAAGUGCACCCGAUGUCAAAUCUAAUAGUUGAAUUCUGUUGGGCUAAGG
This 507-nucleotide long non-coding RNA is filed under the name Hordeum vulgare. Its description in RNAcentral is "long non-coding RNA (HVUL_LNC002522)". Lineage: Eukaryota; Viridiplantae; Streptophyta; Magnoliopsida; Poales; Poaceae. The record is from RNAcentral.